Long non-coding RNA from Lutra lutra (Eurasian river otter), 2102 nucleotides. RefSeq lists it as uncharacterized. The transcript is spliced from 3 exons. The record is from RefSeq and is a predicted model, not a curated record. NCBI's taxonomy places the organism in Eukaryota, Metazoa, Chordata, Mammalia, Carnivora, Mustelidae.
UUUCAGAUACGUUCAUGGCAAGACUUGAAGAAAUGUUAGAUUCUUGUGAAUCAUGUUAUUAGAAACAUUACUGUGCUGUUGGACACACAGAUGCAGGAAAUUUGGCAAAUCAUUCUGGAUCUCAAGGGGUGCCUUCCAGCAAGCCAGCAGCAGAGAUCAGAAGGGCGCACUUUCCUUUUUAAUCUGGGACCGUGUUUUGCUUCUAGUGGCUGUUGAUGGCCCAUCUGAAAGGAAAUGAGCCCUUUCUGUAAGACUGCUAACCUCUCUGACAUGGGAGGUAUUUGGUGAUUUUCUGGAGCAGGGGUGCUGUGGGACGGCGACCCCUCUCAUCAUAACUUCAACAGCCGGAAACAGAGAUUCAACCGGAAUGUUCUUCAGAGCCCAUCAGCUGUGUGUGGGUCUCAGAGCUGCUCAUUACUUUGUUCCCUUCAUUCCACUACAGCAGCUCCCAGUCAUGACAACCAGUGGGGCUAAUUGACGUGAAAACUCAGCCCCAAGUGCCCAAGCUUCCCCAAAACAAUUGCUGGAUUGUUCCGGGACCUGUUGAUGCAACGAGCCUCCCGCUGAGAAGUUUGGCCCAUAAUUAGCAAGCAGCAGCUGUCAAGCCCAUCAGAUGGUUUUAGGUGAUGAAGCGAAGGAGACAAAGAAAUUUCUUCUUCUUCCCGGGCAGGGAAGACAGUCCGCGUUUGAGUGGAGCUGACAGUUCUGUAAAGGAAACUAAGUGAAUUUGGCUUCCAUUUCACUCUCAUGCUUUCCAGACUGAUACCGAACCUCUGAGGCUCAUCUUUCGAGCCUGGUUCCAUCACCCCCAGCUGGUGAGGCGACAAAGUCUUAAUGAAGCUCGGGAAAGGCAAGGAAGGUUGCAGGCUGGAAACCCCAUCUGCUCUACGCUCCAAUAACCCUUGAAGACCUCUGGGAAUUUUCAAAACGGAGCGUGUUUUGCUCUCCCUCGACCCUGAAAGGAAGUUCGAAAUGGGAUAGUUUUCACCUUGACAUUGACUUUUUGUAUUUGGGGAAAUGUGAAAUGAUGUCGAGUGAAAAAAAAGUUGGUGCUGGAUACUCGCGAUUCAAAUAAAGGUAGAUUUUCUUCUGUCGUUUACCUGCAUUUAAUGGAAAUGUCCUGGUGUGAGGGCAAGAGCCGCGGAUGGGGAGAAACUGGAUGGAAGUUGUCUGAUUUCUGGGAGCCUCGGUUGUCUCACCUGUACCUGGGAAUAUUCGUUAGAUAAUUAGAAUCUCAUCCAACUCCAAAAAUAUGUGAGUAGAUGGGUAGUGUCCUUUUUUUUUUUUUUUGAAGAUUUUAUUUAUUUGUCAGAGAGAGGACAAGCAGGCAAAGUGGCAGGUAGAGGCAGAGAGAGAAGCAGGCUCCCCCCUGAGCAAGGAGCCCGAUGCGGGACUCGAUCCCAGGACCCUGGGGUCAUGACCUGAGCCGAAGGCAGCGGCUUAACCGACUGAGCCACCCAGGUGUCCUAGUGGAUAGUGUCCUUAACCAAAUAUUGUAACAUACAUGGUUACGUUCUUAAAGUGGUUUCAUAUAAAAUCUCUCUCUCUUUAUAAAUACACAUUAAUGUUUGUAUGUUUAUAUAUAUGGGUGUGAUAAAGCUUUAUGGGCACACUGAUGUAUUAGCUAUUGUCCUCAUAUGUCGAUACCAGUUAGAAAUACAUGAGUUCAGCAGUGCCUGGGUAGCUCAGUUGGUUAAGCGUUCAACUUCUGAUUUCAGCUCAGAUCAUGAUCUCAGGGUCAUGAGAGCUGGCUCCAGGCUGGGCGUGGAGCCUGCUUAAGACUCCAUCUCUCCUCCUGCCUUCCCCCCUAAAAAAAGAGAAAGAAAUAGGUGAGCUCAAAAUGUGACUCACAUGUCUCUGGGUUGAAUGAGAAUGGGAAUGAGUUACUUAGCAUUGCAUACACUGAUAUCCACAGAGUCAUUGUCAUUAAUAUCAUUAUGCUCAUACCUGUGAGAAUUAUAACACUACAAAAGAGUUACCGAAAAAGCAGAAAUUCUGUUGACACUUUAUGUGUGCUAAAGGAACUGUGAUGGGGGAUCUCUCAAGAGAGGAAAAUUCCCACUUGCUUUAACUCUCACUGUAAAUGUAGUUCUUAAAAGGCC